RNAcentral lists this ribosomal RNA (253 nucleotides) under uncultured bacterium. RNAcentral's name for it is "partial 16S ribosomal RNA". It matches the Rfam family "Bacterial small subunit ribosomal RNA", at positions 524 to 776 of the family's 1533-position model. The record is from RNAcentral.
UACGAAGGGGGCUAGCGUUGCUCGGAAUCACUGGGCGUAAAGCGCACGUAGGCGGAUUGCUAAGUCGGGUGUGAAAUCUCGGGGCUCAACCCCGAAACUGCACUUGAUACUGCCUUGCUCGAGUACUGGAGAGGAGAUUGGAAUUUACGGUGUAGCAGUGAAAUGCGUAGAUAUCGUAAGGAAGACCAGUGGCGAAGGCGAAUCUCUGGACAGUUACUGACACUGAGGCACGAAGGCCAGGGGAGCAAACGGG